This 253-nucleotide ribosomal RNA is filed under the name uncultured bacterium. RNAcentral's name for it is "partial 16S ribosomal RNA". It matches the Rfam family "Bacterial small subunit ribosomal RNA", at positions 524 to 776 of the family's 1533-position model. The record is from RNAcentral.
UACAGAGGGGGCAAGCGUUAUUCGGAAUCACUGGGCUUAAAGGGCGCGUAGGCGGGCUGUCAAGUCUGGGGUGAAAUCCCGCGGCUCAACCGCGGAACUGCCUCGGAUACUGACGGUCUCGAGGGGGGUAGGGGCGAGCGGAACUGAUGGUGGAGCGGUGAAAUGCGUUGAUAUCAUCAGGAACUCCGGUGGCGAAGGCGGCUCGCUGGACCUCUUCUGACGCUGAGGCGCGAAAGCUAGGGGAGCAAACGGG